AUUACUUCGAUCGGAGGAGAGCUCAAAUCAAGAAAAAUGAACACAAGAAUCGUCUCUUUACCUACAAAUUGGAAGAAAUAUAUAGAAACUUGUGGGAUAAUCGAGCCAUUUAACCUUUUCUUGGAGUUCUAUUUUGAAACUUAUGAAAUGUUUCACUCUUGAAAUUAGUAUCUAAAGAAUGAGUUCUAUUGCCCCUUUUUCCAAAUUAGAAUUGUCUAUAAGUGGGACUUCCCUCAUCAUUGAUAUGUGCCAAUGCUACUAAUCUAUAAAGAUAAUGUUAUUUAGAGAGAGGCAUAUAUAUGGAUCCACUAGUGCAAUAUAAGGAGUCUUGUAAGUAAAAUAACUAAAGCAAAGUUAGAAAAUUGUUCAUAUAUAAACAACGACAAAAAAUCUAUCCAAUAUACAUUUCUAUUCAAAUCUCAAAUCAAUGGGAUUUUGCUAUAUUUUCUUCCUGCAUACAUGCAGAUUCAAGUAAAGAAGGCAACACAAGGGGAGUAAGUAGAGGAAUUGGAUCUUUACUGUGACAACAAGAUGGAUAUGAAACAGAUGAAGAAGAUGCAGAUGAAUCCAUUGGCCUUAACAAUGCACCCUUGUAAUCAAGAGACCUGCUACUAGGCUUGAGCUGCAGCGGGCGAGGAGCGCGCAUUUGCAACCUGCUCAGUGUCCUUUUCGCUACUGCAUAUUCAUCUUUGGGUAUACAAGUUUGGAAACCAGGAAACUCAUGUUCAUCACCACAUCUCUCCAUAACUUUCAUCUGUUUUUUCAACAACUCUUGCUAGAGAGGAGACUACACUCGUAGUACCUUUUAAUUUGAGUAUUAUCUUCGCUGUGGAUGAUCUAGUCGGGGCCUGGGGGCCUGUACAAACAAAUCACCAAGAAUUUAUGAGGAGGGACCUAUAAGGAUAUAUGUUAGUACGAAAUAUUAUUUGGAUUUUUCUUGUUUACAGUAUGCUCCAUACUCCUAUGCAGGAAUUAAUGAUAUGUUAACGGGAACAUGGUCCAACCUGUAUGGUUUCAUGAUAAAUAUUGAUAAAAUUGCAUCUUUGGUCCUCAUUUGCAAUUAAAUGUUAAUUUUAGUCCCUGUCUUACUAUUCAGUAAGCAUUUACCUGUCAUGAAUCAUUUUACAUGCAGAGUUAUCUACAAGAGGAAGUUAAAGGUGAUGUCAGAGUUAGCAAAAGUACAAGGGGUCUUUAAAUUUGAGGGUGCUUCGUGAAGGAAGUGGAAGUUGGGGUGC
RNAcentral lists this long non-coding RNA (1235 nucleotides) under Nicotiana tabacum (common tobacco). RNAcentral describes it as "long non-coding RNA (NTAB_LNC012281)". Lineage: Eukaryota; Viridiplantae; Streptophyta; Magnoliopsida; Solanales; Solanaceae. The record is from RNAcentral.